RNAcentral lists this ribosomal RNA (417 nucleotides) under uncultured archaeon. Its description in RNAcentral is "partial 16S ribosomal RNA". It matches the Rfam family "Archaeal small subunit ribosomal RNA", at positions 330 to 747 of the family's 1478-position model. The record is from RNAcentral.
GUGCACCAGGCGCGAAAACUUCGCAAUACGCGAAAGCGCGACGAGGGAACCCCCAGUACUCUUGCUUUUUGCGGGCGUUUUUGCCACGUGUAAACCGCUUGGAGAAUAAGGGCGGGGUGAGGCCGGUGCCAGCCGCCGCGGUAAUACCGGCCGCCCGAGGAGUGCCCACUAUUAUUGGGCCUAAAGCGUCCGUAGCCGGUUUUGUAAGUUUCUGGGUAAAUCCCACCGCUUAACUGCGGGAAUUCCAGAAAUACUGCAGAGCUAGGGGCCGGGAGACGCAGAAGGUACUCCUGGGGUAGGGGUGAAAUCCUAUAAUCCUAGGGGGACCACCAGUGGCGAAGGCGUUCUGCGAGAACGGGCUCGACGGUGAGGGACGAAAGCCAGGGGCGCAAACGGGAUUAGAUACCCCUGGAGUCC